AAGCCAAGUCUGGACAGUCUUGUGCCAUCUGCCUCUGCGGGCUGCUUGCUGUGGGAGGCAUGGAGUUGAAUGCUGAGACAGACAUGACAGUGGAUGGAAGCCACAUGGUUAGCUGUGGCAUUUGACCUCUCUGGGCCAGAGCUUGUGAUUUAGGAACUAAGCCAUGCACCCGGCAGAAGAAAAUGCCCAAGACCUUCCUGCAUUGCACCUAUUAAAGGCUGCAGGUGGAGAAGGAAGUGGAUGGACGUUUCAUCUCACCCAUACAGUAAUGGGCCAGGGGAAGAGGCUAGAGCUCAGUGUGUCUGCUUUGCAUGCCCAAGGUCCCAAGUUUGAUCCCCGACAUCACCAGAUCAGUUCCAGCACACCGGAAGUCAAGAUGUGUGUCGUUUCACUCAUUGACAGUCUGAUCCUGUGGACAUUUACUGAGGGUGUUUACUGACAAGUAAAGACCCCCUGAUUUCAAUGGGACUUGAUCGUGGGUGGCACAGAAGAUGCCCAGGCAAAGGGAAGUGACAGCACUCUCAAAACAACCUGUCUUGCUUCAGUAAACGGCAACCCUAAAUCUGUGGCAAAGCCAUGGGGAACCAUCUCACCGGCAAAGGGCCUCUGAGGGAAAACUUCACUGAGGAUGGAAGUGGGAGACUGCAAGUGCCCCCCCCCCAGCAAAGAUUUCGUCAUUCAGGGUGCUGAGCCCGAACGUGCAAAGGCUUCCAUCGACCUGCCUCCAAGCUUAGAGAAACACAAUACCUGCCCCACCCCCAAGACAGAGCUGAAUUACCAAAUUGGCAGAGUAGGCACUGGCCUAUGGGCUCCAUGCCUUUUAGGGCCCUUGCAAU
Molecule: long non-coding RNA, 836 nt
Organism: Podarcis muralis (Common wall lizard)
Lineage: Eukaryota; Metazoa; Chordata; Lepidosauria; Squamata; Lacertidae
Source: RefSeq, a predicted model, not a curated record